CGUCUCAGUUCAGAUUGCAGGCUGCAACUCGCCUGCAUGAAGUCGGAAUUGCUAGUAAUCGCAGAUCAGCAUGCUGCGGUGAAUACGUUCCCGGGCCUUGUACACACCGCCCGUCACACCAUGGGAGUCGGUAACACCCGAAGUCGGUAGCCUAACCGUAAGGAGGGCGCCGCCGAAGGUGGGAUUGAUGACUGGGGUGAAGUCGUAACAAGGUAAC
RNAcentral lists this ribosomal RNA (217 nucleotides) under uncultured bacterium. Its description in RNAcentral is "partial 16S ribosomal RNA". It matches the Rfam family "Bacterial small subunit ribosomal RNA", at positions 1284 to 1500 of the family's 1533-position model. The record is from RNAcentral.